Molecule: unclassified non-coding RNA, 196 nt
Filed under: plant metagenome
Description: partial contains small subunit ribosomal RNA and internal transcribed spacer 1
Rfam family: Eukaryotic small subunit ribosomal RNA (bases 1-46)
Source: RNAcentral
AAGUCGUAACAAGGUUUCCGUAGGUGAACCUGCGGAAGGAUCAUUACCUAGAGUUGCGGGCUUUGCCUGCCAUCUCUUACCCAUGUCUUUUGAGUACCUUACGUUUCCUCGGCGGGUCCGCCCGCCGACUGGACAAUUUAAACCACUUGCAGUUGCAAUCAGCGUCCGAAAUGUAAAAAUCAUAUUAGUCAACAAC